GCGGGCGUGGUGGAAUGGUAGACACAGCGGUCUCAAAAGCCGUGUCCCUUACCGGGAAUAAGAGUUCGAAUCUCUUCGCCCGCACCA
This 87-nucleotide transfer RNA is filed under the name Agrobacterium rubi. RNAcentral's name for it is "tRNA-Leu". It matches the Rfam family "tRNA". Rfam says of the family: Transfer RNA (tRNA) molecules are approximately 80 nucleotides in length. Their secondary structure includes four short double-helical elements and three loops (D, anti-codon, and T loops). The record is from RNAcentral. Lineage: Bacteria; Pseudomonadati; Pseudomonadota; Alphaproteobacteria; Hyphomicrobiales; Rhizobiaceae.